This 253-nucleotide ribosomal RNA is filed under the name uncultured bacterium. RNAcentral's name for it is "partial 16S ribosomal RNA". It matches the Rfam family "Bacterial small subunit ribosomal RNA", at positions 524 to 776 of the family's 1533-position model. The record is from RNAcentral.
UACGUAGGGCGCAAGCGUUGUCCGGAAUUAUUGGGCGUAAAGAGCUCGUAGGCGGUCUGUCGCGUCCGUUGUGAAAACUCGAGGCUCAACCUCGGGCUUGCAGUGGAUACGGGCAGACUAGAGUGCGGUAGGGGAGACUGGAAUUCCUGGUGUAGCGGUGGAAUGCGCAGAUAUCAGGAGGAACACCGGUGGCGAAGGCGGAUCUCUGGGCCUGAUCUGACGCUGAGGCGCGAAAGCUAGGGGAGCGAACAGG